Molecule: transfer RNA, 52 nt
Filed under: Lebertia trifurcilla
Lineage: Eukaryota; Metazoa; Arthropoda; Arachnida; Trombidiformes; Lebertiidae
Description: tRNA-Arg
Source: RNAcentral
AACUAAAAAGGUUGGAAUUUCGAAUUCUUUUUUGUUUUUAAAACUUUAGUUG